RNAcentral lists this long non-coding RNA (411 nucleotides) under Gossypium barbadense (sea-island cotton). RNAcentral's name for it is "long non-coding RNA (GBAR_LNC016483)". Lineage: Eukaryota; Viridiplantae; Streptophyta; Magnoliopsida; Malvales; Malvaceae. The record is from RNAcentral.
UGCGAGGCGACGUGACCGAGGAGAGCAAAAAUCAGAGGUUGCUUGUCACUACUGCAGUCAUGGGCACGGUUUUGCUUUCCAUUUCUACGUCCUCGAGUGGACCACCCAUAUACAUUCCCACUCAUAACGAGGUAAAUUUUAUAUUAGAUUUUACAAUUAUUAUGUAUAUUUUUAAAAAUAAAAGUAUGCUAAAAUUUUAUUUAAUUUGGUUGAACCAUCCGACAAGUCAUGCUCGAUUACCUACCGAACUUGAAGAUAUACAACUUCUAUUGGACCAACGAUCGGAAGCACAAGUAAGUAUUAUUGCAAAUAGAUAUUUAGUAUUUAGUAUUUAGUAUUUAGUAUUAUGUAUAUAACUAAUAUUUCUAUCAUGUCCAUAUAGUUUCAAUGGACACUAUAUGAGGAUCCGGC